RNAcentral lists this long non-coding RNA (878 nucleotides) under Homo sapiens (human). RNAcentral's name for it is "non-protein coding VAV3-AS1:5". The record is from RNAcentral. Lineage: Eukaryota; Metazoa; Chordata; Mammalia; Primates; Hominidae.
CAUGGCUUAGGAAGAGCUGUAAACGGGAGCUUGCCGGCUGGCCACCAGCUCAGGGGCCCUGGGGGCGGCCUCCGGGUUCUGCUCCCUGUUCUUCCCUUUGACCAAUGUCACUCCUGGACAGAUAACGGGACCAAACGCCCUUCACUUCCUCGAGUCCUCAUGUAUGUCAUGGUUCCUCUUUUAGGAAAACAUGAGUACAAGACGCAAAGCAAAAGAAGAGACUAAAGGCAAAUUACCCCAUCACCUCGUUUCGUCCCUCCCCUUCGUUAUUAUAGAAGAGCUUGAUCAAAUUCCCUUUGUCGCGCCACACACACGCAGAGUAGGUGAAGGGCACCCUAAGACAACUUAUUUCUUUCCCGCCUCACAGAAAGCCUUUACGAAAUCCUCACACCAUCUCCGGACGCAAAGCUUUCGCAUUCAGCUUGAGGAGCUAAACCAUUUCAAGCCAAGGUUUCUUCACAGAUUAGGAUAAAGGAUGAAGAGAAGUAAACUGAAUUACUAAGGAUGCAACAUUAAUGGAGAGAGCCAAGUGAUGUAAAUCGUGGCUGGCCAUGAGUGGAUCUUGAGUGCCAGUUAUCUAGAGAAAUUCCACGUGGCUGUUCCAGGAUGGAUUAGGCACCAAUGACUCUCUUUCACCCUCGAGCUGGAAUCCUGCCCCUUUAACACCUUUCCAGAGAGAGGCAACCCAUGGAGGGUCACAGCAAGAUGGGAUGGUUGUGCCUGGUAGUAAAAAUAUGUAUCACUCUUCAUUUCAUCCAGCUUUGAAGCUUCUGCUAGCAGCUCACACAUGACCCCAAGGGCAGCUCCUCAAGUCUGCUAAAGAAAAGAAAAAAUAGAAAUCAAGAUGAACUGAAGAAAUAUGAAUCCAAAGAAUAGAC